CUGAGUUCAUGCCCUUACGGGUAGAUCUCCCACCCUUGAAUAUCUAAACCUUUGUUGCUUUGGCGGGCCGCUUCGGCUACCGGCUCCGGUUGGUGAGUGCCCGCCAGAGAACCUUAAACUCUGAAUUACAGUGUCGUCUGAGUACUAUAAAAUAGUUUA
This 159-nucleotide unclassified non-coding RNA is filed under the name soil metagenome. RNAcentral's name for it is "partial internal transcribed spacer 1". The record is from RNAcentral.